RNAcentral lists this long non-coding RNA (1748 nucleotides) under Equus asinus (donkey). RNAcentral's name for it is "lncRNA (ENSEASG00005025774.1)". Lineage: Eukaryota; Metazoa; Chordata; Mammalia; Perissodactyla; Equidae. The record is from RNAcentral.
GACUUUGUUUUGCUGGUGACUGUAUGCCCAGUUCCUAAAACAGGAGUUGGCAUGGAGUGAACUCUCAAUAAAUAUUUAAUUGAAUGGAAUAAAUGAAUAAAUAAAUAUAACACAUAGUGAGUGUUCACUAUAUGAGAAGCAUUCAAGUUCUAAGCACUUGCAGUAAGUAAUAUUCACAACAACUCCAUAGGGAGACCCUAUUAUUAUCCCCAUUUUACAGAUGAAGAAACUGAGGCACAGAAAGUUUAACUGUCUUGCCAAGGCCAUGCAGCUUAGAUGUCUUAUAUUCAAGAUCAGAAGAGGCAACAGGAUUCAUAUUCCAAGGCGCUCUCCCUUCCUCCCUCUUCAGCAGGCCCUCAGUCAGAGCCAGCUAUUCCUUCCCUUCCUUCCUUCCUCUCUUUGCUGUCUCCUGGAAUGCUUGUAUGGGAAUCACAGAGUCGCACGCUUCAGAUAUCUGGGGUGAAUCUUUGGUGUUUUAUGCAUUCAAAGGGUGAGAGCUUGGCUGAGCUCAAACUGCUGCCCUCUCUUCCCAUUUUCUCCAUACUGGUGCCUUAGAACCUGGUCAAGUCACACAACUUGGUAUUUUUUUCUUUAUUACUAUUUUUUUUAACAGCUGUUGACAAAUGCAGAGGCUAUUAUGGUUUAUGGUGUUCCUUUGCAUGCACCAUCUCAUUUGAUCAGCUCAACAGCCCAGGGAUAUGGGCAGUGCAAGGAUGGCCACUGCAGUUUAUCGAUGAGGAACCAGAGGCUCAGAGAGGUUGCGUGAAGCUAUUUGGAAGAAGAGUUUCGUUUCUAGUUAUAAGCUGAAGAAGCAACAGGCACUUGUACCCCACUUCUCGUGGUGAAUGCAGGAGUGGCAGAGUGAGAUUGGAAACACAGAAAGCUCAAAACUGACCUCCUGUCACUUUCACCUACAGCCCAUUGGCCAAACCUGAGAAAUAAUUUCUAGAGCCAGGGAAAGCAGCACUGCGGAAUUGAGGAAGAAUGGAAUUCUCGCUUUCAAUCCUCCUCUAAAUUGAUGAUCAACGUCAUCCUCCUGGCUCCGUAUGAAGUGGUUGUGGACAUGGAACACUUGGUUGGCUACACAGGCAUCUGUCCUUCGUAGGGCUCACACCAAUGCUGAGAAUGAUGCCCACCGAGUUUCACAGGAAAUAUUUCAGACACAUGGCUGAUGGCAGACUUCAAGUAACAUGUAACUUAACAGAUCCUUAUGCUUUGGGAGUUGCAGUCGAGGUCUGAGAAGCCAUAGACCUAAGAUGCAAUUUUUUUGAGUUUAUCUGUAUCUAUAUAAAUACAUUUUCUUUUUUUCUCAAAGAAUAUUUCGAUUUUUUCUUGAAGAAAUUUCAAAAAAGAGGAAGAAAAAAUGGGGAAAAAAGACUUUUUUUCUAUUUUAAAAUUCAUUUUUGUUUUAUUUUUGUUACCAGACUGUUCCAGCAAUUUUCUUUCCUGCUUAAUGUUAUCUUUUAAGCCUGUCUCCAAGUUUUUGCAAAAUGACCAUUUUCAAAGUGAUACCUAAAUUCAAUUUCAAUUCAUUCCCAAAUGUAAAGUCAUUAAAAUGCCCCCAAAUUAGAAACAGAAAUACAAUAGUCUAGCCAUUCGGAAAGUACAUACUAAUGUGCUCACUUAAAGCUAAAGACUGAGCUCACAAUUACUUUAACAUUAGAGCUCUAAAAAAAUCAGUAAUUAUGAGUUUACUAAUCCACAAUUUGUAAUGAUUUGCAUAUGACUGGAGUGAAAGCAUAAUUUCA